UCCUACGGGGGGCAGCAGUCGAGAAUCUUCGGCAAUGGGCGCAAGCCUGACCGAGCGACGCCGCGUGGAGGAUGAAGGCCUUCGGGUUGUAAACUCCUGUUGGGGGGGAACAAAAACUGAGUGAACCCCUGAGGAAGCACGGGCUAAGUUCGUGCCAGCAGCCGCGGUAAGACGAACCGUGCGAACGUUAUUCGGAAUCACUGGGCUUAAAGCGUGCGUAGGCGGCAUUGUAAGUUAGGGGUGAAAUCCCAUCGGCUCAACCGUGGAACUGCCUUUAAUACUGCAAUGCUUGAGGGAGGUAGGGGAAUGUGGAACUUCCAGUGGAGCGGUGAAAUGUGUUGAGAUUGGAAGGAACGCCAGUGGCGAAAGCGACAUUCUGGAUCUCUUCUGACGCUGAGGCACGAAAGCUAGGGUAGCGAACGGGAUUAGAUACCCCGGUAGUCA
Molecule: ribosomal RNA, 444 nt
Filed under: uncultured bacterium
Lineage: Bacteria
Description: bacterial SSU rRNA
Rfam family: Bacterial small subunit ribosomal RNA
Source: RNAcentral